Molecule: long non-coding RNA, 307 nt
Organism: Haliotis rufescens (red abalone)
Lineage: Eukaryota; Metazoa; Mollusca; Gastropoda; Lepetellida; Haliotidae
Exons: 3
Source: RefSeq, a predicted model, not a curated record
ACGAAAACAUUAUGUUGUUUCAGAAAACGGCAAUAUCACAGAGAGUGAGUUUACAUUACAAUGGCAUCGGCACUACCUCGACGUUCGCGACUUUGUCGGCUACCUCUUCCAAAAUUUCGACAUGAACAACGACAUGCGUCUGACCGACAGUGACCUCGUCGCUUGGUCAAAAAAUCUCGACACUGACGGAAAUGGGGAAAUCUCGAUCGCAGAGUUCAGGACCUACAUGAUGAACCUCUACACCAACUGUGUUACAGCUCACGCCAACUGAUGUCCGCUGUGAAAUAAAACAUCGUGAUCGACAUUC